GGUCAGAUGGCCGAGCGGUUAAGGCGCCAGAAUCAGGAUCUGGUCACAUUGUGGCGUGGGUUCGAGUCCCACUCUGAUCA
RNAcentral lists this transfer RNA (80 nucleotides) under Coemansia spiralis. It matches the Rfam family "tRNA". From Rfam's summary of the family: Transfer RNA (tRNA) molecules are approximately 80 nucleotides in length. Their secondary structure includes four short double-helical elements and three loops (D, anti-codon, and T loops). Further hydrogen bonds mediate the characteristic L-shaped molecular structure. tRNAs have two regions of fundamental functional importance: the anti-codon, which is responsible for specific mRNA codon recognition, and the 3' end, to which the tRNAs corresponding amino acid is attached (by aminoacyl-tRNA synthetases). tRNAs cope with the degeneracy of the genetic code in two manners: having more than one tRNA (with a specific anti-codon) for a particular amino acid; and 'wobble' base-pairing, i.e. permitting non-standard base-pairing at the 3rd anti-codon position. The record is from Rfam by way of RNAcentral. RNAcentral also lists the same sequence under 5 other names. Lineage: Eukaryota; Fungi; Kickxellomycota; Kickxellomycetes; Kickxellales; Kickxellaceae.